AAAUUGAAGAGUUUGAUCAUGGCUCAGAUUGAACGCUGGCGGCAGGCCUAACACAUGCAAGUCGAGCGGCAGCGGGAAAG
This 80-nucleotide ribosomal RNA is filed under the name Aeromonas caviae. Its description in RNAcentral is "partial 16S ribosomal RNA". It matches the Rfam family "Bacterial small subunit ribosomal RNA", at positions 1 to 80 of the family's 1533-position model. The record is from RNAcentral. RNAcentral also lists the same sequence under 1 other name. Lineage: Bacteria; Pseudomonadati; Pseudomonadota; Gammaproteobacteria; Aeromonadales; Aeromonadaceae.